GUUCGACGCUUCUUUGUCUUUGUUACCAGUGAAUCCUGUCCCAUGCCUGUCCUUUAUGAUGAAAGAACUUUGAACAGUCUCGACAAGCAGACAUAACGACUGCUAGCACAUGUUACUCGAUGAAACAAAGGAAGUACAGAGAGGGAUAAUCGGAAGAAAGAGCGAAGAAAGGUGACAGCAGCCUGCUCGAACGCAAUUAUUCUACAUCGUCAACCUUCUCACGUUUCCUUGGAGGAAUAAAACAUUUUUAGAGAUCACCACAACCGAACGACGUAACUGAGGAUGAUGAUAGGACGUUGAAACGACAUUGAAUUUCGAAAUCUCCAAAAUUGCGAUCGAAAUAAAAGUGCGAAGAAAAACGACUUGGAGGCUUCGUGAAAUGAACCUG
Long non-coding RNA from Venturia canescens, 388 nucleotides. RefSeq lists it as uncharacterized. The transcript has 3 exons. Lineage: Eukaryota; Metazoa; Arthropoda; Insecta; Hymenoptera; Ichneumonidae. The record is from RefSeq and is a predicted model, not a curated record.